UCGAAGAACUUGAACCAGUGCAUUUUUUCUUUCGUAAAAGUAGCGUAACGAAUGGUUGUAAAUAUCGAGUUUCGUUUAAACUACUAAACCUACGUUCAUUUCGUGACUGUAAAUGGCAUCUGAGCAAAGCAAACAGUAUUGGUUAGUCUAAAGGUGAAAGAAAAAAAUGUAUUUAGUCAUCUCACCAUCUGGGCCAUAACUCUACAGCCCACGUUCCUUGUAUAAUCGCAAACCCGGUUUUUGUUGAGCAUCUACUCAAGAGUCAGUUUCGAGUUAAAAGUUGUAUGUCUAUUUUUGUGAAUAUCUGGGCCCCUCAAGGCCAACCGAGGUUAGUAAUCUGAAAUUCAAGAACUUCUUUUCAGAUUUCAACAAAAUCUACAUUCAUGGCCAGGUAACAAGUCAUGUAUGUAUACGAACAUACCUAAUUAAAAUGGUUUGCAUAUUUUAAAAGAAGGCAAUCACAUGCACUUGCUAAUUAAGAGAAAAUCUUCAGAAGAAAAGCCAAAGGAAGGCGAUAUAUAACCAGUUCCACUUUAGUCCCAGAAGAAAACUGUUUCAUAACACGUAGGUACAUUGUACAGACAGCCCGCUAAUACAUGUUGAUACAUAAUAUAAUUUUGUAUAACA
Molecule: long non-coding RNA, 627 nt
Organism: Dendroctonus ponderosae (mountain pine beetle)
Lineage: Eukaryota; Metazoa; Arthropoda; Insecta; Coleoptera; Curculionidae
Exons: 2
Source: RefSeq, a predicted model, not a curated record